Non-coding RNA from Gymnothorax javanicus (giant moray), 75 nucleotides. The record is from the annotation of a GenBank genome assembly. Lineage: Eukaryota; Metazoa; Chordata; Actinopteri; Anguilliformes; Muraenidae.
GGCACUGUGGGGCAGUGGUUAGCAAUGCUGCACUGCCACAGCAGGAAGGUCCUGAGUUUGAUUCCCAGCCGGCCA